RNAcentral lists this ribosomal RNA (468 nucleotides) under uncultured bacterium. RNAcentral describes it as "partial 16S ribosomal RNA". It matches the Rfam family "Bacterial small subunit ribosomal RNA", at positions 28 to 507 of the family's 1533-position model. The record is from RNAcentral.
GACGAACGCUGGCGGCGUGCUUAACACAUGCAAGUCGAACGGAAAGGCCCUGCUUUUGCGGGGUGCUCGAGUGGCGAACGGGUGAGUAACACGUGAGUAACCUGCCCUUGACUUUGGGAUAACUUCAGGAAACUGGGGCUAAUACCGGAUAGGAGCUCCUGCUGCAUGGUGGGGGUUGGAAAGUUUCGGCGGUUGGGGAUGGACUCGCGGCUUAUCAGCUUGUUGGUGGGGUAGUGGCUUACCAAGGCUUUGACGGGUAGCCGGCCUGAGAGGGUGACCGGCCACAUUGGGACUGAGAUACGGCCCAGUCUCCUACGGGAGGCAGCAGUGGGGAAUAUUGCACAAUGGGCGGAAGCCUGAUGCAGCGACGCCGCGUGCGGGAUGACGGCCUUCGGGUUGUAAACCGCUUUCGCCUGUGACGAAGCGUGAGUGACGGUAAUGGGUAAAGAAGCACCGGCUAACUACGUG